GACAAAGACAGCGCGCAUCUGAAAGUUCCAAGCCAGGGAUGAUCUGGACAUUAAUGCUCUCGCAAAGUCUAGAUCUGCCGUAUAGCCUCAGGCAUCCAUCCUCCCCUCUUCUUGGAUGAAACAGCACAUCAAGCCACUUCGGCUUUCUUGAGUUUCAGUUCUAUUACCUUACAGGCCACGACCACGCUCGCUCAGUUUAUCAGAUUGUAUCGCCACAAUCCGGAAAGCAUAUCAUGUUCCAUGCAGUUUCUCAGAUUUUUCCUUUUUGAAAUUCCGCAUCUUAUUUUGCUUCCUUGAUCUUCUUAUAUGCAGGCUCAGCUCGCUCACAUCUAGGCACCUGCAUGUAUAGCCGUCUGUCGUGAGAUCGAAGACGCCCGAGAUGAGGCUGUUCAUUUAUCCAUAACAAUUCACAACCUCCGAUCCGGCGUGUCCUCCCAGCAUAUCAGCAAAAAUGGAUGACCCAGAGCAAGAACUUGAUGCCCUGGAGCGCAUAUUAGUUGAUGCGAAUGCAGAGCCAAUCGCCCUAUCAUACGCGUCUUUAUGCAAGAUUACAAAUGGUUUCUCUCAAGAGAUUGGCCGUGGUGGGUUUGGAUUGGUUUAUAUGGGAGUUCUGCAGAACGGGAGAGUAGCAGUGAAGAAACUUUCCAAAAUACAUGAGUUUUCUGAGAGACAGUUUGAGGAUGAGCUUAUUUGUUUGAUAAAGGUUAAACACAAAAACAUAGUGAGAUUUUUAGGCUAUUGUUCAGACACAUCGAGACAAGUAGUUAAACACAAUGGGACAUACAUUUUGGCUGAAGUCCGGCGAAGGUUCCUCUGUUUUGAGUAUGUAUCAAAUAAAAGCCUUAAAGAGUAUCUCAAAGAUGAAUCUUAUGGACGUGAUUGGGAUACACGUUAUCAGUUGAUUGCAGGAAUUUGCCAUGGUUUGCGUUAUCUCCACAACGAAGAACGCAUCAUUCAUUUGGAUCUCAAACCUGAAAACAUCUUGCUGGAUAUUGACAUGGUUCCAAAAAUAACAGACUUUGGCUUAUCAAGACGCUUUGGAACAGAGCAAUCCAGGGUAAUCACUAAAGAAAUCAAAGGAACACGGGGAUAUAUUGCUCCGGAAUAUCACAACAAUGGGGAAAUUUCUUUCAAGUCGGACAUUUAUAGUUUGGGCAUCAUAAUAAAAAAACUAAUAAGGGGAAGUAAUGAUUUGUCUGAUUUUGAAAACUGGCAUACAUCCCUAGUUUUAGACAACCAACAGGUGAAGAGGAUCAUUGAAAUGGCACAACUCUGCGUGAGUGCGGACCAGCAUAUAAGACCUACGAUAGAUGAAUUCAUUGAUAUGGUGAAUGAGAAGGAAACCAUGACUACAGUGGUCUCUCCUGUUUGCGGUCACUCCAGAAGUAACUCUGGGUCUUCACUAAAACAGAUGGAAGAACAUAAUGUGUUUCCGCCUGUGGUAAGCAAGGAAAGGUUAAACAAGGAAGGAUACAGUGAAGAAGUGGUCCAUAAGAUGGAAGCCCCAAAUAAAGAGGUGACGGUGGAUAUGCAGGGCAAGGAAGAGUUGUUGGUGCCAAACACUGGCGUAAGCAAGGGACUCCAACCUGAGAGUAUAACUUGUAUCGUGAGCAAUGAGACAACAACCUGUGAAGUGGUGGAUAAGUUGAAAUCAUGGGUUGUUUUGGAAUCCAAACCAAUACUACUGCAUAAACAUCUACUCCCACAAGAUGGCGAUAUUUCAGCAAAACAUCAGCAGUAUAACCAUAUUAUUCGCCGUAAACUCUGGCCACGACUACCUCGUGCGGUAACUGUGACAUCCGAUGAACCUCGGUUGAAGUCAAGGGCCAGAAAAGAGAAUGAUCAAGAGUCAGCAAGUGCAUCAAGUCCGCCACAGGCCAUCAGAGCAAACAGGGAACCAGAAUACACCGCCACUCGGCCAGGAAACGCGAUUGUACAUGUGGCAAAAUGUGACAGCCCGAUUGUGUCCAUGACUGUCCAUCCCGCGGAGACAUGGAUUAUUACACAUCAUUUGGACCAAUCUGUUUGCAUAUGGGACUACAUUACACAGGAAAAAGUGGAAAACACUUUCAGAGUCUUGAUAUCUAAGCACAAGGCUGAUGUUCUCGCACCAAUAUUUGUUGCACGAAAGCAAUGGUAUUUGACCGGGACCAACACCGGUCACGUAAAAGUGUACAGUUAUGAGACAAUGGAGGAUGUGAAAACUUUCAAAGCCCAUGACGACAACGUCAGGUCUUUGGACAUCCAUCCAACGAAGCCUUAUUUGUUGUCAGCAUCUUACGACAAACGAAUUAAGCUGUGGAACUGGGAGGAGGGCUGGGAGUGUGUUAAAACUUUUGACACGCAGCGCUUCAUAUCUAAAGUCAAAUUUGUCCCUACAGGUGCAGGUUAUUUUACAAGCGCUUCCUUGAGUGGUCUACAGAUAUGGAAUAUUGGUUCUUCUCAAUGUGAAUUCGAAUUGGAUGAGGAUGAUCCGGACAUGAUGAGUUUUGACUACUUGACUCGCGAUGAUCAGCUGCAUGUGAUCACUGGUCAUAUUAAUAACUCAGUUCGUGUAAGGGAUCGUCAGAUUUGGGAGUGGCAGAGUCGAGGUGGUUCUAGCAAACUCGAAGGACGUGCUGGCAAGGUUACUACUGUUCAUGGGCAUCCCGAUCUUCCAAUAAUAAUUUCAGGUUCAUGUGACGGGAAAAUUUGCUGGUGGAACUCCGCUACCUUCCAAUCAUUCGGUCAAAAAAGUUGUUGAUUCAUUCGGUCAACAAAAGUUGUACUGUUGAUUCAUCCGGUCAAUACUCCAGUAGCAUCAUAUGUUCCGGCUUGAGGGCACACUGGAAUAUGGCCUCGGAUUGGUUCGAUAUAUAGCUUGUUUGAAGGGAUCAAGAAGGAUUGUGAUUGGGCAUCAAAAUGGAUUAGCAAUGACUGAAAUUACCACGAAAAACUUGAUGCUAUCAGGUGAAGGGUUAUAGAAGGAAGGAACAGAUAAUGGUAGUGCAACCAAGUACAUGAGGAGCUGGAGUGAAGACAGAAAAUGAUGCGUACACCACUUGGUAAAAUUAAUGGUUGAGUUGCACAUGUGACAUGUGGCUUUGGUAGUUUGGUGCUUAUCUGUCGACUGUCAUCUUACAAUCCAGUCUUCACUAAUUUUCUCUAGAGGUGUAAAAAGCUUAUUCAAAUUUGAAGUACAGAUGCUGUUGUUACUAUUUCGUCUGAACUCCAAAUAAGCAACAUGGCGGGUACACAUAAGCAACGGACAAUGUUGGUUUAUCAGAUGUCUGCAGAUAUCUGUACACA
RNA transcript from Panicum hallii, 3288 nucleotides. It is a transcript of the gene named serine/threonine-protein kinase pakH-like, with no coding region annotated. Lineage: Eukaryota; Viridiplantae; Streptophyta; Magnoliopsida; Poales; Poaceae. The transcript is spliced from 18 exons. The record is from RefSeq and is a predicted model, not a curated record.